Patellaria atrata CBS 101060 is the source of this 90-nucleotide non-coding RNA. Lineage: Eukaryota; Fungi; Ascomycota; Dothideomycetes; Patellariales; Patellariaceae. The record is from the annotation of a GenBank genome assembly.
GGCCGGGUGGCGCAAUGGUAGCGCGUCAGUUUUCGGUUUUCCAAAAUUGUUGUUCACUGAAGGUUGAGGGUUCGAGCCCCUUCUCGGUCG